RNAcentral lists this long non-coding RNA (204 nucleotides) under Prunus persica (peach). Its description in RNAcentral is "long non-coding RNA (PPER_LNC001900)". Lineage: Eukaryota; Viridiplantae; Streptophyta; Magnoliopsida; Rosales; Rosaceae. The record is from RNAcentral.
CUAAUCAAAUCUAAUUCUUGAUUCUUUCAAGUAUUUUAUUACGGAUUUUAGUUGAACCCACAUAAAUUAUUGUUUUAUUCCUUAUAUAUUUGCAAACGUAUAAAAAUUCAUGAAUUGAAAUGAUUGCAGUACUCAUAUACCCACUCGAAAAGUAAGAAAUGAGAAUAACUAUAUAAUUUUAUAAAAGAAAAAAACAUGAUAACU